Molecule: transfer RNA, 76 nt
Filed under: Pararhodospirillum photometricum DSM 122
Lineage: Bacteria; Pseudomonadati; Pseudomonadota; Alphaproteobacteria; Rhodospirillales; Rhodospirillaceae
Description: tRNA-Thr
Source: RNAcentral
UACGCCAAGACGUCGCUUGCGGCAAGCUUGGGGACCUUGGGGCGCAGUUGGUCAGCCACCUGACGCCACUGCGCCC